This 1425-nucleotide long non-coding RNA is filed under the name Olea europaea subsp. europaea. The record is from RNAcentral. Lineage: Eukaryota; Viridiplantae; Streptophyta; Magnoliopsida; Lamiales; Oleaceae.
CUGACUUCUCAUUCUCUCGUUACUCUCUCUCGCAGCUGAAGACUAAAGAUUGCCUCUUGUAGCUACCACCGUCAUUUCUCCGACGCAAUGAAGCUACGUGGUCCAUUGACCUUCCUAGGGUUUUGGUCUGAAGCCUAAUAAAGCUAUUAGAAGUGGCUGCAAACCCUGUUCUUCCCUCUCAUCGGCUCCAGCAAUGUUCAGCAUCUGCCUCUUCCAGUACACUAUUUUUAUGAUAUCUCAUUCCACAUUAUGUAUUUAUAUAUAUUCUAGUAUUUGUAAUUAUUCAUUUUACAAUUGUAUCUUUAGUUGUAGUAGUAUGCGAACAAUUAUUAUUAAAGAUUUACAGGUUUUGAUUUGUGAAGGCAGUUUCUUUUGAAGUGUUCCCAACAAGUUAUUUUUCUUUAAAAAAAUUAAUAUUGGUUGUGUGCCUUCCAUGGAGUGUGAUAUGAGAAAAUAUGUUAAUUUUUUCUUUGAGUUUCUGUGAGCAAACUGACAUAGAGUUGAAAUAGGCCUCUAGAAAUAAAGAUUUGAAGAUUUACCGUCGACCAGUUAGGGAUUUUUGGUGGGGCUGUACAUUAGAUCCUUGUGCAUUUAUUUUUAAAGUCAUAAUUGUAACAUCAAAUUAUAAUAUUUAAAUUUUAAGUCAAAGUGUAUAUGAUUAAUUUUGGGAAUUUCUCUGGACAGACCCUAUUGGACAUAAUUGGUCAGUUAAUUGGUUUGUUUUGGAUCCAAGUGCUUGACCUUUGUUUGUAGUUGAACAACUUGCCAAGAUACAGAACAAGGAGGGACAAAAUAUGGAUCUCUACAUUCCCAGAGAGUGGUGUGUAUCUAUUCUGCCGAUGAUAUUAUUAGGUCUUUUAUGCAUUUACCUUGCUGUUUCAUAUUAUAAAAGUGAAAUUUGUGAGUUGCACGAUGUUUGACAGUAUGGGAAAUUUUAUCGGUGCUAUGUCAUGUCGUGCAUUUGAAAAAAUUUAUGGUUUGAAUUUGUUAAGCAUAUCGUGUCUUCUGAUACUUUAAUGCGUUUUGAAUAUUAUGGUAAUAUUACCAAAGCAAAUAAGUCACAAUUAAUUUUAAUUGCAAACAUUUGGCUCCUAAGUACUUAAUUUUUGGACCAUUUUUUUUAAUUGUUAUUUUCUAUUAUUUUUGUUUGAUGUUGAUAUUGAAGUUGAGUUAUAUAAUCGUGAGUUUGCAUAAGCAAAUGAUGUUAGCAACAAUAUUCACCCACCUUUUGCCACCUCCUGCCAAUUUACUUCGGUAUUUAAAGUAAAUUUGGUGCUCCAAACGUGCUUUUCUGGCAACUGUAAAAUGAUGAUAUGCUGUAGUUGGGUCCAUUUCAUGCUUUUGUUGAUAACUUCUGAUAUUUGACUCAUGCCUAUACUUCUAUCUAAUUCUGCAGGCAGCUGAUAUCAAAAGCAGCAUAUCUAA